RNAcentral lists this long non-coding RNA (3222 nucleotides) under Nicotiana tabacum (common tobacco). Its description in RNAcentral is "long non-coding RNA (NTAB_LNC013398)". The record is from RNAcentral. Lineage: Eukaryota; Viridiplantae; Streptophyta; Magnoliopsida; Solanales; Solanaceae.
UAUCCCCCAAUCUCUCCUCUCCGAAUCUCUCUCCCUUUCUCUCCUCUCUCUCCUCGCCCUCUCUGUCGAGAUCUCCGUCGAUGCCUCUUCUUCACUUUCCCUCUCUCACUUCUUCAAAACCAGGUUUAUUUCUGAUUAAUUUUAUGCUAACCCACCGCAAUUAUCAUGAUGGUCACUGUUUUUUUUUAUUUAAAAAAAUCUUCUUUUGGAUUGGCCGAUAGAAUAGCUUGUGAGUUACAGUUCUAACCACUAGGCUGCAGCUGCAAUUUACAAGUUUACAGUUUUUGCUUUAGUUAUUAUUUUGUUUAUUUAAUUGGAAAUAUGUGGUUGAAUAUGGUUAAUUUCUGAAUGAAUAUUGUUCUUUUUAAUUUAUGCUCCUAUUGAUAUAUUUUUCCUUGUACUGUUUAUUUAUGUAAGUUGUGGUACUAUUUUUCAGGCCUGGUGCGUCAUCAGGUAUAUUUUUGGGGGCAGUAACGCUUCCUGGGCUUAUAGUAUCAAAGUUGAUCCAGAUUACAAGAGCAGUAUCUUUAAAUCAAGUCGGAACUGAAGGUAUAACACUCAUUAUUGUUUUUUAUUGAAAAUGAUAAUGGAUUGUUUCAGGAAAUAAAUGAGGGUUUAAACAGCAUAACUAGUUAAACAUGAAAUAGCAAUGACAAUUGUGAUGCCUAAAAGUGCAGUGUGAAGAAUAAGGAUAAUUUUGCUGUAAAUUGAUAGGUUAUUAACACUAACAACAACAACAACCACCCAGUGUAAUCACACAAGUGGGGUCUGGGGAGGGUAGGAUGUACGCAGCCUUACCCCUACUCUUGAAAGGGCAGAAAGACUAUUUCCGAUAGACUGCAAGUUAACACUAUUUGUUUUAAUAUUUACUAUAUUGUGCUUAUGUGUCUGUCUACUGAAUCUCUUAUCUCAAAAGAUUGUUAAGUUACGUUCUGUCUUGUGAUGUUUGUAUAUGGAAAAGGGCUGUUUAGUAGGGAAAGGUAUAAUCUUGCCUCUGCUUAUGUAGUUGAGAAGGAGCGUGGUUGUGUUUUACAUAUUUAUUCACCUAAUAGGUCGAUUUCCAUUAGAAACUUUAGUUAGUAUGGUAAGAUUGUAUUCAGGACUUAUGUUGAUUCCUACCUUGCCUCACAUGUAUGACUGACUUCUUUUGAUUUUGACCUCUUAACAGAGCUUGAAAAUCUGCAACUACUAUAUUGGGUGACAUCUGCAAGUUGCUUCACCGUGCUAGCUUAUCUCUGCUUCAUUUUUUACCGUCAAUCAGACAGCAAGAAUUGUGCUACUUUUCGCGUUAGCUUAAGUUGCAUAGCGUUGUAUUUAGGAGUCUGCUGUGUGUCAUUUGCUGUGAAAUCUCAUGGUGGUAGGUCAAUUUCUCUUCCUUAUAUUCACUUAUUCAUUCAUUGGUCAACCCAAUAAGUUAGUUGAGCCUUUCUUAACAAUUCUUGGCCAACAUCUCCUGUAGGUUGGGAUGCAGUAGCAAUCUUAUUGUGGCUAUUCUUUCAUGGAUUUGCAGCAGUAAAGCUAAUUCAGAAUAUUCUUCACACUUUUCCAGCAUGCGCUUCAAUUGGUUGGUCAUGUUACUACGUUUUUUAUUUUACUGGAUAUAUCUGUAGCAUCACAACUACCAAAUUGCACACUUGGUAUGAGGGUCCACUCUGUUGUGCAAAGAUUCAGUUCACAUUCUCUCUCCACUAAUCACAAUAAAACUAAGAUUUAUUUGGCUGUUAGACAAUAUGAAGGAAUUUUUUUACCUAGAGCUUCAUUCUGCCAGUUUCCCAGUUCAAUUUGGUCACGGUUUAAACAAUUGGCGGAUACAGUUACAUAUCUGCUGAUGUGUAUACGUUCCAUCACUACAUAUCUGUCGAUUCAUAUCCAUCCCACUGCUGCAUAGCUGAUGAUUCAUAUUUAAUGGCUCCUGUUGUAGUCACGCCAGAUGACGCAAAAAUGUAGUAGGUAAUACAGAUGUUAUCGACACAUUGGUGAUAAUAUCGUGUAAAGACAAAUCUACCGAAUACGAAGAUGAUAUUGGCACUUUUUCACUCUUUUUAGGAUUAACCUUUAUUUCUUGUUCUUUUCUCAUGAAAAAUUGUAGUCGAACUAUGGGAAAGAAAAAGUCUUAAUAUAAAAUGAUCUGAAACUUGACUGUAAAUUUUAUACUUUUCAAACUUUCUUUUUAUAUUCUUAUUUUAGGGUGGCUCACAUUUGGUGUUAGUUGGAAGCAUGUCUCGCCUUUUAGAGAAGAUUAAAGCUACUUGGGUAUUGUAAUGUCAAAUAUGAUGUAGGAUUGUCUUGUAGUUUGUUGAAGUUAUCUUAUCUGAAGUUUGAAGGAGGAUUCCUACGAAUUAUAUACAACAUUGAAUGUGUUUUUAGUAGUUAAGUAGAUUAAAAUAAUGAUUCAAAUAAUCACCUCAAAGUUCACAAAUUAUUUCUAAUAUAAGAAUUUUUUAAGCCUAUAUGCAGCUAAAGUGCACUUAAUGCUGAUCUACGAUCAAUUUGCUAUGACUGCUGCCGAAUAAGGACCCUCCAAUUCCAUAUCAAAUUCUGCAACUUUGAACAAUGAGUUGGAUAUUAAGUUGCAUGCGUGGAACAUACUUUAUUCCACACAAAGUGCUGUUUGAACAUGGCUUAUUUCGGCAAUCUAUAUUUCUUGUUUAUAUUAGAGAACAGAGGCUCAAAAUCAUUUGACUUGUCCUAUUACGUUUUGCUUUAUUUGAUGAAUGGUCCUUUGUCUUCUGCACACUAAUUUGCAUUCUUGGUUCUCUUCUUAGGAGAAGCGUUACUGGUUACUGUUGGCCUUGUUAUCUAUUUCAGUGAUAUGCUAGCUUGUACUGCUGCUAAGGUUAGUUUCAUACUUUUACUUUCUCUGAUAUCAGAUGAAAUGGAUACCUAAUAAGCAGUAUUGUGUCUGUGAACAGUCCCAUGGGUACUUUACAGCAUCUAAGCUAGUGACGGUACCAUAUGGAGUCCAGAGAAGUGAAGUUAGCAUUAUUAUUCAGGUAUUGUACAAGCUGUUAGUUUUCUAGACUAUCCUCUUCUUUCCAUAUAAAGUAAAAGAUUUCGAUUCAGAGUACUGAUCACGAAAGGUAACACUAUGUUCUAGGGAUUGAUUACUGGCCUUCUUAUUUUCCCUAUGCUAUUUAAAAACGUGCUUCAAAUUUUGGAGCGGGUCAGCUCGGCACCUUCUAGAGAUAGAGGAGAUAAUCAAAUGAGGCGAUCUCUUGUGUU